This is a long non-coding RNA of Nicotiana tabacum (common tobacco), 583 nucleotides long. RefSeq lists it as uncharacterized. The record is from RefSeq and is a predicted model, not a curated record. Lineage: Eukaryota; Viridiplantae; Streptophyta; Magnoliopsida; Solanales; Solanaceae.
CUGCCGAAAAAAGAAAAAGAGGCAAAACUCAGAUGCCAGGCGUGCAUGGAAGGAAAGAACGUAAACAAGUUGUGUUAAAUGAGACCAAUCAACCCAUAGGUCCUACUGACGAAGUUGUAAAAGAGUUGGGUAGCUUCAUCGGCACAUUGGCAAGGAGUGCGAUAUUUUGUCCUCUUAAUGUAUUUAAUUGGGGGAAACUUGAAACAAAAGAAGAUAUAUGGAAAUACAUCAAGGAAAAAUAUGACAUUCCUGAAGCUACGGAAGUAUGGGUUCUUGAAUCAAUCCAGAAUGCUUGGAGAAAGUAUAAGAAUAAGUUAAUGGAAGAACAUUUUAAACCCUAUGAAAAUGACGAGUUUUGAAUGGAGAAAAGGCCGAUUGAUGUUCCGGAGUCUCAAUUUAGGGAACUUCUUAAAUAUUGGAAUUCUGAUACCUACAAGGUGAAGCAAAUGAAGAAAAUGGAGAUGGAGACAGUGAAGAUCUAGACCUUACUUAAAGAAUUUUGAAUUGUUGUAGAUGUUUAGGAAUCUUUUGUAAUCAACAUUUGAAACUUACUCUAACUCUUGAAGUCUUGAACUUUAAAACU